Molecule: small RNA, 1118 nt
Filed under: Pan troglodytes (chimpanzee)
Lineage: Eukaryota; Metazoa; Chordata; Mammalia; Primates; Hominidae
Description: retained intron
Source: RNAcentral
CGCUCCUUGUCCCUCCUCCUCCUCCCCCCUGCUCCUCCCCCAUCAUGUUCUCCAGAUGAAGUUCGCACUGGCACCUACCGCCAACUCUUCCACCCUGAGCAACUCAUCACAGGCAAGGAAGAUGCUGCCAAUAACUAUGCCCGAGGGCACUACACCAUUGGCAAGGAGAUCAUUGACCUCGUGUUGGACCGAAUUCGCAAGCUGGCUGACCAGUGCACCGGUCUUCAGGGCUUCUUGGUUUUCCACAGCUUUGGUGGGGGAACUGGUUCUGGGUUCACCUCCCUGCUCAUGGAACGUCUCUCAGUUGAUUAUGGCAAGAAGUCCAAGCUGGAGUUCUCCAUUUACCCAGCGCCCCAGGUUUCCACAGCUGUAGUUGAGCCCUACAACUCCAUCCUCACCACCCACACCACCCUGGAGCACUCUGAUUGUGCCUUCAUGGUAGACAAUGAGGCCAUCUAUGACAUCUGUCGUAGAAACCUCGAUAUCGAGCGCCCAACCUACACUAACCUUAACCGCCUUAUUAGCCAGAUUGUGUCCUCCAUCACUGCUUCCCUGAGAUUUGAUGGAGCCCUGAAUGUUGACCUGACAGAAUUCCAGACCAACCUGGUGCCCUACCCCCGCAUCCACUUCCCUCUGGCCACAUAUGCCCCUGUCAUCUCUGCUGAGAAAGCCUACCAUGAACAGCUUACUGUAGCAGAGAUCACCAAUGCUUGCUUUGAGCCAGCCAACCAGAUGGUGAAAUGUGACCCUCGCCAUGGUAAAUACAUGGCUUGCUGCCUGUUGUACCGUGGUGACGUGGUUCCCAAAGAUGUCAAUGCUGCCAUUGCCACCAUCAAGACCAAGCGUACCAUCCAGUUUGUGGAUUGGUGCCCCACUGGCUUCAAGGUUGGCAUUAAUUACCAGCCUCCCACUGUGGUGCCUGGCGGAGACCUGGCCAAGGUACAGAGAGCUGUGUGCAUGCUGAGCAACACCACAGCUGUUGCCGAGGCCUGGGCUCGCCUGGACCACAAGUUUGACCUGAUGUAUGCCAAGCGUGCCUUUGUUCACUGGUACGUGGGUGAGGGGAUGGAGGAAGGCGAGUUUUCAGAGGCCCGUGAGGACAUGGCUGCCCUUGAGAA